Molecule: transfer RNA, 65 nt
Filed under: Hishimonus phycitis
Lineage: Eukaryota; Metazoa; Arthropoda; Insecta; Hemiptera; Cicadellidae
Description: tRNA-Tyr
Source: RNAcentral
AUUAAGGUGACCGAAUAAUAGGUGGUAAACUGUAAAUUUACUAAUGAAAUUGUUUUCUCUUAGUA